GACGAAUGCCUAGGGACAAGUUGCCGACGAAGGACGCGAAAGCGGCGAAACGCUCGGGGGAGCUGCACAGAAGUGUUGAUCCCGAGAUAUCCGAAUGGGGAAACCCGGUCAGAGUAAUGUCUGGUCACUCAUCACUGAAUACAUAGGUGUUGAAGAGGUAACCCGGUGAACUGAAACAUCUAAGUAACCGGAGGAAAAGAAAUCAACCGAGAUUCCCUGAGUAGUGACGAGCGAACGGGGAACAGCCCUUAAGUUGAGAUGGCUUUAGAAGAACAGUCUGGAAAGACUGGCCAUAGAUGGUGACAGCCCAGUAUUUGAAAGGGCCAUCUCAAUGAAGACGAGUAGGGCGGGGCACGAGAAACCCUGUCUGAACAUGGGGGGCAUCCG
Molecule: ribosomal RNA, 387 nt
Filed under: Pycnococcus provasolii
Lineage: Eukaryota; Viridiplantae; Chlorophyta; Pseudoscourfieldiophyceae; Pseudoscourfieldiales; Pycnococcaceae
Description: partial Bacterial large subunit ribosomal RNA
Rfam family: Bacterial large subunit ribosomal RNA
Source: RNAcentral